AUUAUUUUCUUCUUUCUGCUUGCACUGGAUUUUAUUUCCUUUUCUAGUCUUAAGAUGAAGUUUACGUCAUUGAUUUAAGACUUUUCUAAUUAUAGUCAUUCAAUGCUAUAAAUUUCAUUUUAAACACUGCUUUAGCUGCAUCCCAUAAAUUUUGAUAUGCGUUUCUAUUCUGCGUUAGAAGCUUGUUGUCUAAUUUCCAAAUCUUUGGGGAUUUCCCUCAUAUUUUUGUGUGUGUUUUGGUUCUCCUUUAGUACUUUUUCAGCCAGAAAAUAUACUAUGAUUUCAAAUUUUUUUAAAAAAUUGAAAAUUAUUUUUUGAUCCAGAAUUUAAGCCUAUCUUGAUGAAUGUUCCGUGUGCACUUUUGUGUUUGUUGAGUGGAGUGUUCUAUACAUUUCAAUGAAAUCAAGUUAGUUGAUAGUGUUGUUCAGGUCUUCUAUAUCCUUACAUAUUUCCUAUCUACUUAUUUUAUCAAUUAUUGAAAGAGGGAUAUUGAAAUAUCCAACUAUGAUUGUGGAUCUCUCCCUUUCUCUUUUCAAUUCUAUCGGAUAAGGGCUGGAUUUUUUUCUUUUUUUAAAUGUUGCUGCUUACCCUUGGCUUUCAGGCUUCUCUGUGCACUUGCACCUCAGAGGGUGUCUCUUCCCGUGUUCUUGCUUGCUACUCCAAGAGUAGACUGCUGUUGCUUGUUACUUAGAGCUUGGUAGUCUGGUGCUGGAGCCAGAGGAGGUUCUUUGUUGUCUUGUUUCAUAUUUAGGCCUGUGUGUCUGAGUCUCGUGGGCUAGUGCCUUUUCAGUUAUCUUGCCCUUUCCAGCCAACUCAGCCUUGUAUCUUUGGCAGAUCUUGUGCAGGAGAAUUUCCUGCUACUCUCCCAGUGGUAGGAACCACUAAUGGUGUUAUACAGGAUCCAGAGCCCAGGACUGUUUCCUGCUUCUCUGCCAGUGGUAGAAUUGUUUUCUUCUACACUUCCCUCUAUCAUAAUGGGUCUUUACCAGUGCUGUGGAAGUAACAGGGUUGUUGCUCCUCCCUCAGUGGCUCAAGACUUUUCUUCUUUAGGGAAUAAAGGGUUGGGAGCAGUUUGUGCCUUUCCUGUAGUGGCAGCCUCUCUGCUCCAGGGCUAUACUACUGAGAGAGGCUCUUUGCAUUCACCCACACAUUCUUUCUAGAGAGCAUCUAGUACAGUUCCCCUUGUAUCCGAGGCUCUGGGACUUCUGUACUCUCAUGCUAGCCAAUUCUCGUUUUUUAACAAUGCAUUAAAAUUGUAGUUAAAUUCUUCUUACCCAGUCGUGUGGUGCUCAGUGUCUCUCCUUCCUGUGCUCUACCACAUGUAAGUCAGUGUUUGUGACUGUCUCUGCCUUGGGAGGUGCCUGUCUUUCCUUGGGUUUCACAUUAUUUGUUUUCCCUGCCAUGCCAGCUCUGAUAGCAGCGAAAAAGUAUGAUUUUCUUGUUUAUCUGGCUUUUUCUUGUUGAGGUGGUAAUGAUGCUCUUUCCAGGUUUCUACAUUCAAGAUGAAACACCUUUUAUUUGUUUCAGCUAUUUUUUUGUUUAUGAAAUUAAUACAUGAGCGGCAUAAAAAUUUAAAUGGGUAUAAAAUGUGAGGUAAAUUUUCCCACAAACCCCACUCCCUAGAGGCAACAACUAUUCACAAGCUUUAUGUUUUUAGUUCUGUUAAUUUCCAUUUCCAAUGGUACCUAGAACAGGAUCAUUAUGAGAAGCCAUCACUAACUUUUCAGGAAUUUUGCAAGCCCAUUGGUGUCACACUGGUACCUGAAACUGGCUAUGAUGGGAAUAUUUAUGCCACACAAAUCGACAAAUGCUACAAACCAGAGCUCCCCUCCUAGCAGCCAUCUGGAAAGCAUUUACCAACACACCACUGAUUACCUAACACCUUUGCAAUGAAUCUUCCAAUGAAGCUGUUUUGGAAUCCUGAAACCUUUUGUAAGCUUCUGCAUACCAAUUAAAGCAUGGAGAGGGCCCACAUGACAGAUUACCUCAUUGGUACUGACCAGGAAAUUCCGGACUGGUUAAGAUUAUAUUUCUGCAGAAGGUUGAAACUGCGAUUAAG
Equus caballus (horse) is the source of this 2059-nucleotide non-coding RNA. The record is from RefSeq and is a predicted model, not a curated record. Lineage: Eukaryota; Metazoa; Chordata; Mammalia; Perissodactyla; Equidae.